This is a transfer RNA of 75 nucleotides. It matches the Rfam family "tRNA". Rfam says of the family: Transfer RNA (tRNA) molecules are approximately 80 nucleotides in length. Their secondary structure includes four short double-helical elements and three loops (D, anti-codon, and T loops).
GCCCCCAUAGCUCAACGGAUAGAGCGUAGGCCUCCGAAGCCUGAGAUUGAGGUCCAAUUCCUCAUGGGGGCACCA